Molecule: long non-coding RNA, 240 nt
Filed under: Elaeis guineensis (African oil palm)
Lineage: Eukaryota; Viridiplantae; Streptophyta; Magnoliopsida; Arecales; Arecaceae
Description: long non-coding RNA (EGUI_LNC012796)
Source: RNAcentral
CGUGGACGGAGCCCGGCUCCCGUAGGAGUCCGGGUGGAGUCUUCCUUGGCGUCGCGGAUGGAGUCCGGGUGGAGUCUUCCUUGGCAUCGCGGACGGAGCCCGGCUCCCGUAGGAGUCCGGGUGGAGCCUUCCUUGGCGUCGCGGAUGGAGCCCGGCUCCCGUAGGAGUCCGGGUGGAGUCUUCCUUGGCGUCGUGGAUGGAGCCCGGCUCCCGUAGGAGUCCGGGUGGAGUUUUCCUUGG